This 253-nucleotide ribosomal RNA is filed under the name uncultured bacterium. Its description in RNAcentral is "partial 16S ribosomal RNA". It matches the Rfam family "Bacterial small subunit ribosomal RNA", at positions 524 to 776 of the family's 1533-position model. The record is from RNAcentral.
UACAGAGGUCCCGAGCGUUGUUCGGAUUCACUGGGCGUAAAGGGUGCGUAGGUGGCGAGGUAAGUCGGAUGUGAAAGCCCGGGGCUCAACUCCGGAACUGCCUUUAAGACUGCAUCGCUAGAAUUGUGGAGAGGUGAGUGGAAUUCCGAGUGUAGAGGUGAAAUUCGUAGAUAUCGUUUGGAACGCCAAUGGUGAAAACAGGUAACUGGGAGUGUGCCGACGCUGAGACACGAAAGCCAGGGGAGCGAACGGG